AAAAAGGGAUAAGUAAACAAGGAGCUGCAAAAUAAGAUGUAUCAACAAUAUCUAACAAUGUUCCGUUUUUAUCACCACCAAAAUAAGCCUUUUCACAUAAGGCUGAAUAGUAAAGAAACUCACAGGGAACAGAGAUUGAAAAUAAAUUUACCACAAUCCAACUUACUCAGUUGGAAAAUAAAGGGCACCUACCGGCAGCAUCACAUAAACUGGAAUGUAAGCACUCCCAGCAAAAUCACGUUCAGGUAAUUUUGGUGUUGUGUCAACAAUCUACAAAGACCAAAUACCAUUCAAUUUUCAAUAUGUUUUUAUUUUUUACAGAAUAUAUUUUAACUGUUUUAAAGUAUAUGAAAAUUAAUCAAUGCCGGAACUUACAAUAAGGAGUUCAAAGUGCUUUACCAGCGUUAUCAAAUGAUUUAUGUAGCUUAAUAUGAGAUGUGCUUUUAUUUUAUUUAGUUUGUUCUUUUAUUUUUAUUAAGAACCAUACUUUCAUCGAGAAGGAAUAAAAACCAAGGGUAUUAAAAAAACAGGAAGAGGUGUUUCUGGUGAUCAUCAACUAGAGUCACAUUCAUGCAUCUACUACAGUGCAUGCCAUAGUGAGGAGUAAACAUAUCCAUGAGAUCAAUCCAUGCUGAAUGCAGGAGUAAGAAUAACAAGAACAAGCCCGGAGAUAGACACAGAAACUACAAAUUUGACUACCUG
Molecule: long non-coding RNA, 702 nt
Filed under: Cucumis sativus (cucumber)
Lineage: Eukaryota; Viridiplantae; Streptophyta; Magnoliopsida; Cucurbitales; Cucurbitaceae
Description: long non-coding RNA (CSAT_LNC002162)
Source: RNAcentral